Molecule: transfer RNA, 73 nt
Filed under: Treponema sp.
Lineage: Bacteria; Pseudomonadati; Spirochaetota; Spirochaetia; Treponematales; Treponemataceae
Description: tRNA-Asn
Rfam family: tRNA
About the family: Transfer RNA (tRNA) molecules are approximately 80 nucleotides in length.
Source: RNAcentral
UCCCCUAUAGCUCAGUCGGUAGAGCAACGGACUGUUAAUCCGUGAGUCGUUGGUUCAAGUCCAACUGGGGGAG